AUUAAAUUGAUACGGAAGAUUACAUUCUUUUUUUAUGUCCGCAGGGAGAGAAAGCAUAGCUGAAAGCUUUCUUGGCAGAGAAUAAGUGAUGACCACUUCCAUAAUGUUGCCUGACUUUUUGUUGGGUCGGAUUGAAUCCGUUAAAAUCUAUGGAGAAAUUUUUGUUUCGGCAAAGAUUUGAAUUUGGGUGGAACCACGUUAAUCGACGUCCCUAAU
Molecule: non-coding RNA, 216 nt
Filed under: Dellaglioa algida
Lineage: Bacteria; Bacillati; Bacillota; Bacilli; Lactobacillales; Lactobacillaceae
Source: RNAcentral